RNAcentral lists this ribosomal RNA (274 nucleotides) under uncultured bacterium. RNAcentral describes it as "partial 16S ribosomal RNA". It matches the Rfam family "Bacterial small subunit ribosomal RNA", at positions 523 to 796 of the family's 1533-position model. The record is from RNAcentral.
AUACGGAGGGUGCAAGCGUUACUCGGAAUCACUGGGCGUAAAGCGCGCGCAGGCGGUCUUUUAAGUUGGAUGUGAAAGCCUACGACUCAACCGUAGAACUGCAUCCAAAACUAUUAGACUAGUGUGUGGGAGAGGAAGAUGGAAUUAGUUGUGUAGGGGUAAAAUCCGUAGAGAUAACUAGGAAUACCAAAAGCGAAGGCAAUCUUCUGGAACACUACUGACGCUGAGGCGCGAAAGCGUGGGGAGCAAACAGGAUUAGAAACCCUAGUAGUCC